RNAcentral lists this ribosomal RNA (290 nucleotides) under uncultured Acetobacter sp. RNAcentral's name for it is "partial 16S ribosomal RNA". It matches the Rfam family "Bacterial small subunit ribosomal RNA", at positions 29 to 344 of the family's 1533-position model. Lineage: Bacteria; Pseudomonadati; Pseudomonadota; Alphaproteobacteria; Acetobacterales; Acetobacteraceae. The record is from RNAcentral.
AGCGAACGCUGGCGGCAUGCUUAACACAUGCAAGUCGCACGAAGGUUUCGGCCUUAGUGGCGGACGGGUGAGUAACGCGUAGGUAUCUAUCCAUGGGUGGGGGAUAACACUGGGAAACUGGUGCUAAUACCGCAUGACACCUGAGGGUCAAAGGCGUAAGUCGCCUGUGGAGGAGCCUGCGUUUGAUUAGCUAGUUGGUGGGGUAAAGGCCUACCAAGGCGAUGAUCAAUAGCUGGUUUGAGAGGAUGAUCAGCCACACUGGGACUGAGACACGGCCCAGACUCCUACGG